GGGCCGGGGCCGCGCGGCCCCUCUGGGAGCGCUGGGCCCGGCCCGGCCCCGUUCGGUUCCGUUCCGCUCGGUUCCCCCGCCGCUGCCCGGCCCCGGAGCUUCGGCCCUGCGGUGGAGCCCGGGCGCAGGAUGGAGGCAGCUGCUGUGCCAGGCCCGCCCGUGCCCCGAGCGCAGCCCCGCGGAGCAGCUCGGGCCGUGCGUUGCCGGGGCUAAUUUCAAAUUACUUUUUUGCAAAUCUGCACAGACCCCCGAAAUGGGAGCAGAAAAAAGCACAGGCACCAAGGUGUGUAACACAGCUGUUACCACAGAGACCUCUCAAGGAAGGGAAACCACGUGUAGCUGUGAUAAAGAGCCACAGUAGCAAUUAAAAUGAUCCUUAACUCGCUCUAUCUGUGGCGGAUGGUUUCAGUGGAGCCAUGUCCAAACCUCAUCCCUGUCUGGCCUUCCUGGGUGUCUGCUGAUGCCUCCAGCUCGGUGUUGCUCAAGCAGAGCUCCCAGCUCCUCUCAAUCCCAGCUGACAUCCCCACACCUUCACUCGGGCCCUGGAUGCCAUUGUGUGAUCUGGAACCCUUUAUCCAUCUCACCGGGAAUGGGAAUGGCUCCUGUCAACAAGUCUGUGCUCUCACUGUUCCUCCUAGCAAUUAACAAGUUCAUUCACAUUCCAA
Molecule: long non-coding RNA, 665 nt
Organism: Pseudopipra pipra
Lineage: Eukaryota; Metazoa; Chordata; Aves; Passeriformes; Pipridae
Exons: 2
Source: RefSeq, a predicted model, not a curated record